RNAcentral lists this long non-coding RNA (1203 nucleotides) under Phocoena sinus (vaquita). RNAcentral's name for it is "lncRNA (ENSPSNG00000016657.1)". The record is from RNAcentral. Lineage: Eukaryota; Metazoa; Chordata; Mammalia; Artiodactyla; Phocoenidae.
GGCUCCCCCGCCUCUCUCCUUCCCACGUCGGCUGGCCCCCUUCCAAUCCAGCUUCCCGCCACUCAGUCCCAGUUUCCCCCAUCCUAGCCUCAGUUUCCCCACCAGAUAGCCUGGGAUCCCCAGCACCAGACCGUUCCUGGGUCCCAGGCCACUCACAGCGACAGCUCCAGAGGCAGAGAUGAUCAGGAGAUGGAAGGCGAGAGGAGUCCCAAGGGCUGGGCUGCUGCAGGUCGGGCUGUGGCCUACUCAGCUCAGGGCUUUCCCUCCGGGGCUUAUAUCCAGGCCUGAAAAGGGAGGGGGAGCUGGAGGGGGGAGGGCUCUUCUUCCUUCCUCCCUCCACCCCAGACCAGAUCGCUGAGCUUACACCCAGACAGUGCGUGAUGUCUCCACCUCCAAGGAGCAGAGGAGUGGGGGGAGCUCCCACACUCGGACUCAAGGUACCUCUGGAUAGGGUGCCUAGCCGGAACCCCAUCUUCACCCUACAGCCCCCCAACAGCAGGUCUAGCCUUCGGAGGAAGUGAAGCAUUUGGAUCUAGGUUCCUGGGAUGACCCCUAGGAUCAGGGCUGAGAUUCCAUCUUUCCUAGCCUGUCCACGGGUGGGGGUGGGGGCUCGGGGGGGAAGGGGAGCAGGAAGCCAAACCCACUUUUUCCAGCCUGCGGGACCUGUGACCACUCCUUCCAAAAGCCAGCCUUUUCAGCCCCUGCUCUGUAAUAUGUUGGAGGAGAGCCAAGGAGUGACAGGACCUGUGGGGAAAACUCUCUCUCUACUGGAGGCAGGGAUGGGAGCUAUGACCUUGGCUCUUGACCUCCUGUUUAUGAUGUCCUGGAGGAGAAGCCUCUCUGGACACCCCACUGUGUCUCCUCUCUGUUAAAGAGUUGGUGAGGGCUUCCCUGGUGGCGCAGUGGUUAAGAAUCCGCCUGCCAAUGCAGGGGACGCCGGUUCGAGCCCUGGUCCGGGAAGAUCCCACAUGCCACAGAGCAACUAAGCCCGUGCACCACAACUACUGAGCCUGUGCUCUAGAGCCCGCGAGCCACAACUAUUGAGCCCUAGUGCCACAACUACUGAAGCCCGUGCACCUAGAGCCCGUGCUCUGCAACAAGAGAAGCCACCCAAUGAGAAGCCCACGCACCACAAUGAAGAGUAGCCCCCGCUCGCCACAACUAAAGAAAAGCCCACACGCGGCAGAGAGACCCAACGCAGCC